ACCCGGCUAGCUCAGACGAUAAGGCAUUAGACUUUUAAUCUCAGGGUUGUGGGUUCAUUCCCCACGUUGGGCA
RNAcentral lists this transfer RNA (73 nucleotides) under Cricetulus griseus (Chinese hamster). It matches the Rfam family "tRNA". Rfam says of the family: Transfer RNA (tRNA) molecules are approximately 80 nucleotides in length. Their secondary structure includes four short double-helical elements and three loops (D, anti-codon, and T loops). Lineage: Eukaryota; Metazoa; Chordata; Mammalia; Rodentia; Cricetidae. The record is from Rfam by way of RNAcentral.